CUAACUAAAUCUGGACUAAUAUAGUGUACGUGUGUAUCAAUUCCACCAGCAGUUAAGAUUAAUCCUUCUCCUGCUAAAGCUUCAGUACUAACACCUACUAUGAAAUCUACAUUAUCCAUUCCUAAUGGGUUUCCACCUUUUCCUAUAGCAGCUAUUUUACCAUCUUUAAUACCGAUAUCAGCUUUAUAAAUUCCUGUGUAGUCAAGAAUUGUUACUCCUGUAAUUAUUAAGUCAACUACUUUAGGAUUUUUUCUAGUUUCAAUAGAGUUUUGUCCCAUUCCAUCUCUUAG
Small RNA from Clostridium colicanis 209318, 290 nucleotides. It matches the Rfam family "5' ureB small RNA". Lineage: Bacteria; Bacillati; Bacillota; Clostridia; Eubacteriales; Clostridiaceae. The record is from Rfam.